UUGUCAUUAUGCUGACACUUUCUAACUAUGUCCUUGAAUCUUUCCCAAGCUUCGAAAACUAUAUUUGUCGCCUUUUGGCAGAAAUUGUGGAUUUCACUUCUGAACCU
This 107-nucleotide small nucleolar RNA is filed under the name Nicotiana sylvestris (wood tobacco). Its description in RNAcentral is "Plant small nucleolar RNA R71". It matches the Rfam family "Plant small nucleolar RNA R71". From Rfam's summary of the family: R71 is a member of the C/D box family of snoRNAs containing the C (UGAUGA) and D (CUGA) box motifs. Multiple nearly identical copies of this snoRNA have been identified in Arabidopsis, and it is thought to function as a 2'-O-ribose methylation guide for 18S ribosomal RNA. The record is from Rfam by way of RNAcentral. Lineage: Eukaryota; Viridiplantae; Streptophyta; Magnoliopsida; Solanales; Solanaceae.